UGCAAGGACUCCACAUUGAUGCAGCGACACUGCAACACAUGCCUUGUUUAGCACAUCUGGGAGCCUUCUUCCCCAAACCUCCUCACAGAGAGAAGCCAAGCUGGGAGGACAUGUGAGUCGUGUUCCGGCUGUGGAUGAGCUCAGAUGUGGCCAGGACCCUGACUGCAGUGCCAAAAGAGACAUGGUGGCAACACGGGCUGUUCUAAGAACUCUGCAGCAGGAUGGAGACAGUUAGCAAAGCACCUUCUUGAAAGCUGGACCUUGCAAUGCAAGAAAAAAAAAAGAGAAUUUUUCUGCAAGCUUGUGUUUGGAGGCAUGACAUUCAUUCAAGGAAGAAGGCCACUACAGGUGCCUUGGAUCAAACUCAAGCUCAUUUUGCUGAGCUUGUUAUUGUACAAGACAUCAGCCUGUCCACAGUCCAGCUUGGAACUGACUUUCUACCCUGGGACUGUUUUAUAACAAAUUGACAUAUAUUGGCCUUCUCAAAACACCAGACAGAUGAAGCAGCCUCAUCUCCACAGUUUCACAUGCGUCAUCUGGUCCCAUGGUAGUUUUGAGGUGGAAAGUUCACUAAAAUGCCG
RNAcentral lists this long non-coding RNA (581 nucleotides) under Anser brachyrhynchus (Pink-footed goose). Its description in RNAcentral is "lncRNA (ENSABRG00000003149.1)". The record is from RNAcentral. Lineage: Eukaryota; Metazoa; Chordata; Aves; Anseriformes; Anatidae.